RNAcentral lists this long non-coding RNA (1595 nucleotides) under Canis lupus dingo (dingo). RNAcentral's name for it is "lncRNA (ENSCAFG00020012515.1)". The record is from RNAcentral. Lineage: Eukaryota; Metazoa; Chordata; Mammalia; Carnivora; Canidae.
CCCCCGGGUGCGCAGGGCCGAGCUCUGGGACCUCCCGUCGGUGCCCCGGACCAGCUGCGUCGAGGCCUGCGCCCAUCGCCUCCUCGAGCUUCCUCAGAGGGCGUUGGCCCUGCUGCCCGCCCGCAAAUCCAUCCCGGUCCCCGUCCCCACGAGGGUGGCCCGAGGGCCCGAGGAUGAACGGGGGUCGCAAAGCGCAGGAGGAGGCCCCGAGCCGCUGUUCUCCGCCUUCACCGGGGAGAUGCCGGUGCCCCUCGGAACUGCGGGGUGAACUGAGGGGCGGAAUUCAAGACCUAGCGCUCCCUCCUUUAAAAGUACGUGCAAAAACGAAUUGCCAAUGCAGUUUACUAUGGAGAGUCACGGGGGAAGUUUGGGGGGGUGCAUUGGGGGAGCCACUGGAGGAGCAGCCCCCCAGCAGCUCAGAACGGCUGUGCCCGGGCCUCGCGGAGCCGGGCGGUUAGCUGACGGCUGGCAGGAGGCCUGGGCGCUGGCACCUGGAGAGAAAGGGAGACGAUUCUAAGAGAUUCACAUCAAAGCCACACAGGAACAGUCUAACUUUGCGGCAGGUUAAUUCAAAUAUUUCAAGAGCCUAACUUCAUAAGUUGUCAUUUGGAAUGGAAGCAGGGAAGGCUGAUGCUGCUGUGCGUAGACGCGCCUCCUGCCCGUGCGGACCCUCCCCGACCUGAGGAAAAGCCCGGCCCGGGCGCACCGGAGGUCUCCUGGCUCAGAACUGCGGCAGGAGCUCGAGGAUGUUGAUGAAGGGACUUCGUAGGUCCUCUCGAUUGUUUUCUUUGCUGUGGCAAAUGCCCAGCUGUGUUGUUGUUUACAAAAGAAGGAAAGAAUAAUCGCGGUAGAAAUGAUAAGACUUUGGUCUAAAAUUCACGCCUGUUCUCUCUUUUUUCCCUUAGAAUGACCUCAUUGUUUUUUCCUGAUGUGUUGCAACAUCUUUUCUUCUUUUUGAAAGUUUUUAUUUACAUUCCAGGUAGCUAACAUGCAGUGCGAUACUAGUUUCAGGUGUGCAAUACAGUCACUCGACACUGCCUUACAUCAGCCAGUGCUCACGGCGACAGGUGCACCUCUUCCCCACCCCCACCCACCUCCCCUCUGGGGACCAACUGUUUGUUCUCUGUAGCUAACAGGCUGUGUCUUGGUUUCUCUCUCUCUCUCUCUCUUCCCUUUGCUCAUUUGUUUUGUUCUUAAAUUCCAAAUACGAGUGCGAUCUGAUGGUAUUUGUCUUUCUCUGACGGACUUACCUUGCUUAGUGUUAUACUCUCUAGCUCCAUCCCUGUCAUUGCAAAAGGCAAGAUUUCAUUUUUUUUAAAUUUUUAUUUAUUUAUUUAUGAUAGUCACACACACAGAGAGAGAGAGAGGCAGAGAGAGAAGCAGGCCCCAUGCACCGGGAGCCCGACGUGGGAUUCGAUCCCGGGUCUCCAGGAUCGCGCCCUGGGCCAAAGGCAGGCGCCAAACCGCUGUGCCACCCAGGGAUCCCAAGAUUUCAUUCUUUUAUGUCUGAGUCAUAUCCUAUUGUGUAUGUAUCCCACAUCUUCUUUAUCCAUUCAUCAGUCAAAAAAAUAAAUAAUCCGAUUAAAAAAUGAGCA